GUCCUUUUGAUUUUUAUAUAAGGUCUGACCUGCCCUAUGAAUAUUUAAAUGGCCGCGGUAUACUAACCGUGCAAAGGUAGCAUAGUCAUUUGUCUCUUAAUUGGAGGCUUGAAUGAAGGGUUGGACGAGAUAUAAGCUUUCUUUGUUAUAUUUUAUUGAAUUUGACUUUUGAGUUAAAAGGCUUAAAUUUUUUUAUAGGACGAGAAGACCCUAUAGAAUUUUAUAUAUUUGUAUAAUUGAUUUAUUUAUUUAUUAUUUAAUUUCUUGUUUAAAUAUAUUUUGUUGGGGCGAUGGGAAGAUUUUAAUAACUCUUUUUUGUUUUGAUCAUUGAUUUAUGUUUUAUUAUGAUCCUUUUUUAGAGAUUAUAAGAUUAAAUUACCUUAGGGAUAACAGCGUAAUUCUUUUGGAGAGUUCUUAUCGAUAAAAGAGUUUGCGA
This 436-nucleotide ribosomal RNA is filed under the name Appasus japonicus. RNAcentral describes it as "partial 16S rRNA". The record is from RNAcentral. Lineage: Eukaryota; Metazoa; Arthropoda; Insecta; Hemiptera; Belostomatidae.